RNAcentral lists this ribosomal RNA (811 nucleotides) under Coprobacter fastidiosus. RNAcentral's name for it is "bacterial SSU rRNA". It matches the Rfam family "Bacterial small subunit ribosomal RNA", at positions 1 to 800 of the family's 1533-position model. The record is from RNAcentral. Lineage: Bacteria; Pseudomonadati; Bacteroidota; Bacteroidia; Bacteroidales; Barnesiellaceae.
AUACAACGAAGAGUUUGAUCCUGGCUCAGGAUGAACGCUAGCGACAGGCCUAACACAUGCAAGUCGAGGGGCAACAUGGUAUCAGCUUGCUGAUACCGAUGGCGACCGGCGCACGGGUGAGUAACGCGUAUGUAAUCUACCUGUAACAGAGGGAUAACCCGGAGAAAUCCGGACUAAUACCUCAUAGCACAUAUUAUUCGCAUGAAUUUUAUGUUAAAGAGACUCGGUUACAGAUGAACAUGCGUUCCAUUAGCUGGUUGGCGGGGUCACGGCCCACCAAGGCAACGAUGGAUAGGGGUUCUGAGAGGAAGGUCCCCCACACUGGUACUGAGACACGGACCAGACUCCUACGGGAGGCAGCAGUGAGGAAUAUUGGUCAAUGGGCGGAAGCCUGAACCAGCCAAGUCGCGUGGAGGAAGACGGCCCUACGGGUUGUAAACUCCUUUUACCUGGGAAUAACGGGCGCUACGCGUAGCGCUGUGCAAGUACCGGGAGAAUAAGCAUCGGCUAAUUCCGUGCCAGCAGCCGCGGUAAUACGGAAGAUGCGAGCGUUAUCCGGAUUUAUUGGGUUUAAAGGGUGCGUAGGCGGAAGAAUAAGUCAGCGGUGAAAUGCUUCAGCUCAACUGGAGAAUUGCCGAUGAAACUGUUUUUCUAGAGUAUAAAAGAGGUAUGCGGAAUGCGUGGUGUAGCGGUGAAAUGCAUAGAUAUCACGCAGAACCCCGAUUGCGAAGGCAGCAUACUGGGCUAUAACUGACGCUGAAGCACGAAAGCGUGGGUAUCGAACAGGAUUAGAUACCCUGGUAGUCCACGC